ACUGUUUCUGAAUCUCCCUGCGAGCCGUUCCCUUCUCAGCCGAGCCUUUUCGCCGGCUUCAAGCGAGUGCUAUUAUGAAGAUCAAAUGCGUGCUGCUCUGCCUGGCUCUUCUGCUCGCCUUGCCAGCCAUGAGCGAAUGCAGAAAUAUACGUCCGUACUGUGUGUUGUGCAACCUUCCCUGCAGAGGAAAGUGUUCCAGGCUGACAAAUCAUAACGGGUGCGAAAUAAAUGUCGAGUGUCUUUUCAGUGGUGGCUUUAGACUCCGGCGUCCUCCCAACUCAAUGUGGUGAAGAGGGAUGUGCAUUAGCAUUAUCAACACUGUCUACGGUUAGUGUGAGGAACAAAAAACAGACAGACUGACUUCAAAACAGAAAUGUGGAGUGAUGAAUAAUGUAAUCAUUAGAAAGUAGUUUUUAAAAGGAGGUUUAUUAAGAUCUCCAUGCAUGUGAAACAACUGUUUGUUAAAAUUGUUAUGACUGAGUAAUAUCAAACGGUUUAAAGCUCUUAAAA
This is a long non-coding RNA of Penaeus chinensis, 510 nucleotides long. RefSeq lists it as uncharacterized. NCBI's taxonomy places the organism in Eukaryota, Metazoa, Arthropoda, Malacostraca, Decapoda, Penaeidae. The record is from RefSeq and is a predicted model, not a curated record. The transcript has 3 exons.